CACUAUGCCUAGCCCUAAACAACGAUACCAUUAUACACCCCCCAUCCGCCCGGGUACUACGAGCAUCAGCUUAAAACCCAAAGGACUUGGCGGUGCUUUAAAACCAUCUAGAGGAGCCUGUUCUAGAACCGAUAACCCCCGUUAAACCUCACCCCUUCUUGUUUAAUCCGCCUAUAUACCACCGUCGUCAGCCUACCCUGUGAAGGACUAAUAGUAGGCAAAGUUGGCACAGCCCAAAACGUCAGGUCGAGGUGUAGCGUAUGGAGGGGGAAGAAAUGGGCUACAUUCUCUACUCAGAGAACCACGAAUGACACACUGAAACAUGUGUCUGAAGGAGGAUUUAGCAGUAAGCAAAGAAACAGAGUGUCUUGCUGAAACCGGCCAUGAAGCGCGCACACACCGCCCGUCACUCUCCCCAAAUCUAACUAACUAAUAAUUAAUACACCACCACAAACAAAGGGGAGGCAAGUCGUAA
Molecule: ribosomal RNA, 475 nt
Filed under: Arothron nigropunctatus (blackspotted puffer)
Lineage: Eukaryota; Metazoa; Chordata; Actinopteri; Tetraodontiformes; Tetraodontidae
Description: partial small subunit ribosomal RNA
Rfam family: Bacterial small subunit ribosomal RNA
Source: RNAcentral